AUUGAACGCUGGCGGCAGGCCUAACACAUGCAAGUCGAACGAGUGGCGGACGGGUGAGUAAUGUCUGGGAAACUGCCCGAUGGAGGGGGAUAACUACUGGAAACGGUAGCUAAUACCGCGUACCAUCGGAUGUGCCCAGAUGGGAUUAGCUUGUAGGUGAGGUAACGGCUCACCUAGGCGACGAUCCCUAGCUGGUCUGAGAGGAUGACCAGCCACACUGGAAUGGUGACACGGUCCAGACUCAUGCGGGAGGAAACAGUGGGGAAUAUGGAAGAAUGGUCUCAAGCCUGAUGCAUCAAUGCGGCGUGAAUUAAGAAGGCCUUAGGGUUGUAAAGUACUGUCAGCGGGGAGGCGUUGCCCGCAGAAGACCCCCCGGCUGACUCCGUGCCAUCCGCCGCGGUAAUAC
Molecule: ribosomal RNA, 406 nt
Filed under: uncultured bacterium
Lineage: Bacteria
Description: partial 16S ribosomal RNA
Rfam family: Bacterial small subunit ribosomal RNA
Source: RNAcentral